AUUGAACGCUGGCGGCAGGCCUAACACAUGCAAGUCGAGCGGAUGAGAGGAGCUUGCUUCUUGAUUCAGCGGCGGACGGGUGAGUAAUGCCUAGGAAUCUGCCUGGUAGUGGGGGACAACGUUUCGAAAGGAACGCUAAUACCGCAUACGUCCUACGGGAGAAAGCAGGGGACCUUCGGGCCUUGCGCUAUCAGAUGAGCCUAGGUCGGAUUAGCUAGUUGGUGAGGUAAUGGCUCACCAAGGCGACGAUCCGUAACUGGUCUGAGAGGAUGAUCAGUCACACUGGAACUGAGACACGGUCCAGACUCCUACGGGAGGCAGCAGUGGGGAAUAUUGGACAAUGGGCGAAAGCCUGAUCCAGCCAUGCCGCGUGUGUGAAGAAGGUCUUCGGAUUGUAAAGCACUUUAAGUUGGGAGGAAGGGUUGUACGUUAAUACCGUGCAAUUUUGACGUUACCGACAGAAUAAGCACCGGCUAACUCUGUGCCAGCCGCCGCAGUAA
This 500-nucleotide ribosomal RNA is filed under the name uncultured bacterium. Its description in RNAcentral is "partial 16S ribosomal RNA". It matches the Rfam family "Bacterial small subunit ribosomal RNA", at positions 30 to 523 of the family's 1533-position model. The record is from RNAcentral.